GUGACUUGUAAUAGUAAGCUGGGGGAGGAGGAGAAGGGUACUUGUAUGGUGGAGGUGGAGGAGAUGGGUACUUGUAAGGAGGAGGAGGAGAUUUGUACUUGUAAACAGGUGGUGGAGGAGAUGGGUACUUGUAUGGUGGAGGUGGAGGAGAUGGGUACUUGUAAGGAGGAGGAGGAGAUUUGUACUUGUAAACAGGUGGUGGAGGAGAUGGAUACUUGUAUGGAGGGGGUGGAGGAGAAGGGUAUUUGUAGGGAGGUGGUGGUGACUUGUACUUGUAGACUGGAGGUGGUGGUGAUUUGUACUUGUAGACUGGAGGUGGUGGUGACUUGUACUUGUACACUGGUGGUGGGGGUGAUGGAUAUUUGUAAGGCUUCUUAGGAGGUGGUGGUGGUGACUUGUACUUGUAAACCGGAGGUGGUGGUGACUUGUACUUAUAAACUGGUGGUGGUGGAGAAGGGUAUUUGUAAGGCUUCUUAGGAGGUGGUGGAGGAGAUGAGUACUUAUAGGGUGGAGGUGGUGACUUAUUCUUGUAAAUUGGUGGUGGAGAAGAAGGGUACUUGUAUGGUGGUGAAGGAUGGUGAUAAGGAUGCUUGGGAG
RNAcentral lists this long non-coding RNA (597 nucleotides) under Phaseolus vulgaris (common bean). RNAcentral's name for it is "long non-coding RNA (PVUL_LNC003538)". Lineage: Eukaryota; Viridiplantae; Streptophyta; Magnoliopsida; Fabales; Fabaceae. The record is from RNAcentral.